CAUAUCCAAACGGCAGAGAAGAAACCGAAGCAUGUUACGCUUGGAGAAAGAAUUUAGGCUUGGGAUUCCCGCCCCGCCUCUUUUGACCACACAGGUAAUCGCUAAAUAAGCUCAUCCUCGCCUGUAAAAUGAAAGUGUUCCCUGCGCCUCCCACGCGACCGGGAAGGCGUAUUUGUAUCACCGGGCCUCACACACCACCUAAGGGGGCAGACCGUUUACAGAUGCAAAUGCCAAAUAGGUAUCAAGUUUUGGAGAUCGCUUUGAUGAACGGGAAGAGUGUUCGCAAACUGCGCCUCUAGUGGGCUCCGGGCACGUUUCCUGCGGCUGGUGCAUCACGGGAAAGCUCCUAAUUCCUGCCUGGGCCCAGCACAUUCCUGCCUGGCGGGCCGCUGACCGAGCUGGGCAGUGGUUUGGUCUCCGAUGCGGAGGCAGGCCCUCCUGCUUGGCCAAGGCCCCGCCUCCCACGAAACGCCUGCAGGUCCUGAAGCCUGGCCCACUUCACCCCCAUUACUCGAUGGCCCCGUUGGGCGUUUUCACCAGAGACACCUGAAACGUAACAUGCCAACGUCGUUAAUGAGUCACAGGAAAGGAGGAAAGCCGGCUUUCUCCUGCAUCAUAGUUGUUUUCAGCGUUGGCCCCGCUAUCUAGCGGCGGAUCCGUUCCUCCCGCGAUCCGGGACUUGUUUGACGAGUCUGGUGAUGUGGCUCCAGGGCUAAUGGAACAGAAGGCGCCAGUGGGAAACGCCGGCCGCUGUUCGGCCGACUGGCGAUCUAGGAACCGCGGAGAGGCAAACCAGCCUCCGAGAAAUCCAUCGGCCCGGAUCCUCCCCGUUCUGCAUAAUAUUUUGAGGGAAGACACAGUUCUGAGGCUCAAAGGAAAACGAAAACCACUUUGCCAACUGAUCUCGGAGGCCAUCCAGCGCUCACAUCCCAGCAGCCCGGGGAGAAGAUGGUCUGUGUUUCCUAGUCCUUCGGCCUCUUGCAAUUGAUUCCGGCACCAAAGAGAAACCACACCCAGACGCCUGUCUGCAUGCUGCCUGCUGGGGGGACCAGAUGGCUGUCCCCUCCACCACCCGCCCCCCUGAUGGGAAAAGCUCUCCCUCCGAGUGUGAGACCCAUCACAAAGAAAGGGCUUUGUGUGAGGUUCUUUGCCAGGACCUCACCCUCCACUGCCUCAGAGGGAGCAUCUUCCCUUUGGCCUUUCCUGUUCACGUUCCCCUUAGAAAACCCAGCGGCCUUGCGGUAAGACGGGGCAUGGUUUUCCCUCUUGGCUAAAUAGUUUCAUGUGCCGUC
Long non-coding RNA from Herpailurus yagouaroundi (jaguarundi), 1292 nucleotides. RefSeq lists it as uncharacterized. Lineage: Eukaryota; Metazoa; Chordata; Mammalia; Carnivora; Felidae. The transcript is spliced from 2 exons. The record is from RefSeq and is a predicted model, not a curated record.